This 644-nucleotide unclassified non-coding RNA is filed under the name uncultured Prochlorococcus sp. RNAcentral describes it as "partial 16S-23S ribosomal RNA intergenic spacer; may also contain 16S ribosomal RNA and 23S ribosomal RNA". The stretch from base 303 to 375 matches the Rfam family "tRNA". The record is from RNAcentral. Lineage: Bacteria; Bacillati; Cyanobacteriota; Cyanophyceae; Synechococcales; Prochlorococcaceae.
UUGUGGAGGAGGACGCCGAAGGUGGGGCUAAUGACUGGGGUGAAGUCGUAACAAGGUAGCCGUACCGGAAGGUGCGGCUGGAUCACCUCCUAACAGGGAGACAACAAAAUGUUAAAUAUUAAUUUUGUCACCUUAGGUCGAUCGGUAUCUCACAUUCUUAAUUUUUUGAGAAUUUUAUUUCCUAAGUUUUUCUAGGUCACACCCAUUAUUUUUCCUGGGCCAUUAGCUCAGGUGGUUAGAGCGCACCCCUGAUAAGGGUGAGGUCCCUGGUUCAAGUCCAGGAUGGCCCAUAUCUCUAUGUUGGGGGUAUAGCUCAGUUGGUAGAGCGCCUGCUUUGCAAGCAGGAUGUCAGCGGUUCGAGUCCGCUUACCUCCACUGAUUACCACCUCUUCCAUAAUCUUGAGAAAGGAAAUGUUUUGAGUUGUGAUCAAAUUCUGAACGAAGCUAGCUUCCUAAUGAAAUCAUUAAGAUGCUGGACUCAUUGAAUUAAUUUCAUCGUUUUCAGAGAACCUUGACAACUGCAUAGAUUAUUUUUAAAGACAAUAAGCAUCUUUAUUGAUGCAGAUUUAUUAUUUGUGCGAAUGCAUUAAUAACAAUUCUAUUAAGCUGAUGCUUCAAUUUUGAAGUUAUUGGUCAAGCUACAA